GGGACACGUGGUAUCCUGUCUGAAUAUGGGGGGACCAUCCUCCAAGGCUAAAUACUCCUGACUGACCGAUAGUGAACCAGUACCGUGAGGGAAAGGCGAAAAGAACCCCGGCGAGGGGAGUGAAAAAGAACCUGAAACCGUGUACGUACAAGCAGUGGGAGCACGCUUAGGCGUGUGACUGCGUACCUUUUGUAUAAUGGGUCAGCGACUUAUAUUCUGUAGCAAGGUUAACCGAAUAGGGGAGCCGAAGGGAAACCGAGUCUUAACUGGGCGUUAAGUUGCAGGGUAUAGACCCGAAACCCGGUGAUCUAGCCAUGGGCAGGUUGAAGGUUGGGUAACACUAACUGGAGGACCGAACCGACUAAUGUUGAAAAAUUAGCGGAUGACUUGUGGCUGGGGGUGAAAGGCCAAUCAAACCGGGAGAUAGCUGGUUCUCCCCGAAAGCUAUUUAGGUAGCGCCUCGUGAAUUCAUCUCCGGGGGUAGAGCACUGUUUCGGCAAGGGGGUCAUCCCGACUUACCAACCCGAUGCAAACUGCGAAUACCGGAGAAUGUUAUCACGGGAGACACACGGCGGGUGCUAACGUCCGUCGUGAAGAGGGAAACAACCCAGACCGCCAGCUAAGGUCCCAAAGUCAUGGUUAAGUGGGAAACGAUGUGGGAAGGCCCAGACAGCCAGGAUGUUGGCUUAGAAGCAGCCAUCAUUUAAAGAAAGCGUAAUAGCUCACUGGUCGAGUCGGCCUGCGCGGAAGAUGUAACGGGGCUAAACCAUGCACCGAAGCUGCGGCAGCGACGCUUAUGCGUUGUUGGGUAGGGGAGCGUUCUGUAAGCCUGCGAAGGUGUGCUGUGAGGCAUGCUGGAGGUAUCAGAAGUGCGAAUGCUGACAUAAGUAACGAUAAAGCGGGUGAAAAGCCCGCUCGCCGGAAGACCAAGGGUUCCUGUCCAACGUUAAUCGGGGCAGGGUGAGUCGACCCCUAAGGCGAGGCCGAAAGGCGUAGUCGAUGGGAAACAGGUUAAUAUUCCUGUACUUGGUGUUACUGCGAAGGGGGGACGGAGAAGGCUAUGUUGGCCGGGCGACGGUUGUCCCGGUUUAAGCGUGUAGGCUGGUUUUCCAGGCAAAUCCGGAAAAUCAAGGCUGAGGCGUGAUGACGAGGCACUACGGUGCUGAAGCAACAAAUGCCCUGCUUCCAGGAAAAGCCUCUAAGCAUCAGGUAACAUCAAAUCGUACCCCAAACCGACACAGGUGGUCAGGUAGAGAAUACCAAGGCGCUUGAGAGAACUCGGGUGAAGGAACUAGGCAAAAUGGUGCCGUAACUUCGGGAGAAGGCACGCUGAUAUGUAGGUGAAGUCCCUCGCGGAUGGAGCUGAAAUCAGUCGAAGAUACCAGCUGGCUGCAACUGUUUAUUAAAAACACAGCACUGUGCAAACACGAAAGUGGACGUAUACGGUGUGACGCCUGCCCGGUGCCGGAAGGUUAAUUGAUGGGGUCAGCGCAAGCGAAGCUCUUGAUCGAAGCCCCGGUAAACGGCGGCCGUAACUAUAACGGUCCUAAGGUAGCGAAAUUCCUUGUCGGGUAAGUUCCGACCUGCACGAAUGGCGUAAUGAUGGCCAGGCUGUCUCCACCCGAGACUCAGUGAAAUUGAACUCGCUGUGAAGAUGCAGUGUACCCGCGGCAAGACGGAAAGACCCCGUGAACCUUUACUAUAGCUUGACACUGAACAUUGAGCCUUGAUGUGUAGGAUAGGUGGGAGGCUUUGAAGUGUGGACGCCAGUCUGCAUGGAGCCGACCUUGAAAUACCACCCUUUAAUGUUUGAUGUUCUAACGUUGACCCGUAAUCCGGGUUGCGGACAGUGUCUGGUGGGUAGUUUGACUGGGGCGGUCUCCUCCUAAAGAGUAACGGAGGAGCACGAAGGUUGGCUAAUCCUGGUCGGACAUCAGGAGGUUAGUGCAAUGGCAUAAGCCAGCUUGACUGCGAGCGUGACGGCGCGAGCAGGUGCGAAAGCAGGUCAUAGUGAUCCGGUGGUUCUGAAUGGAAGGGCCAUCGCUCAACGGAUAAAAGGUACUCCGGGGAUAACAGGCUGAUACCGCCCAAGAGUUCAUAUCGACGGCGGUGUUUGGCACCUCGAUGUCGGCUCAUCACAUCCUGGGGCUGAAGUAGGUCCCAAGGGUAUGGCUGUUCGCCAUUUAAAGUGGUACGCGAGCUGGGUUUAGAACGUCGUGAGACAGUUCGGUCCCUAUCUGCC
RNAcentral lists this ribosomal RNA (2242 nucleotides) under Escherichia coli. Its description in RNAcentral is "partial 23S ribosomal RNA". It matches the Rfam family "Bacterial large subunit ribosomal RNA", at positions 419 to 2646 of the family's 2925-position model. The record is from RNAcentral. Lineage: Bacteria; Pseudomonadati; Pseudomonadota; Gammaproteobacteria; Enterobacterales; Enterobacteriaceae.